GACGAACGCUGGCGGCGUGCUUAACACAUGCAAGUCGAACGUGAUUUUUAUGGAAGAACCUUCGGGGACGGAAGUAAAAUGAAAGUGGCGAACGGGUGAGUAACACGUGAGCAACCUACCUUACACAGGGGGAUAGCCGUUGGAAACAACGAUUAAUACCGCAUGAGACCACAAUACUGCAUGGUAUAGGGGUCAAAGAUUUAUCGGUGUAAGAUGGGCUCGCGUCUGAUUAGCUAGUUGGAAGGGUAAAGGCCUACCAAGGCAACGAUCAGUAGCCGGUCUGAGAGGAUGAACGGCCACACUGGAACUGGGACACGGUCCAG
RNAcentral lists this ribosomal RNA (323 nucleotides) under uncultured bacterium. Its description in RNAcentral is "bacterial SSU rRNA". It matches the Rfam family "Bacterial small subunit ribosomal RNA", at positions 28 to 334 of the family's 1533-position model. The record is from RNAcentral.